AAUGGAUCUCUGCUGCACUUCUUGGUGAUACAGAAAGCUCAACACAAUCAUAAUCAGUGGCUUUGUACACAUUUUCGGAAGCAAUUCUCUUAAUUCAAUCAUCAAAAUUUGUUGAGUUUCUUUUUUCUUUUAUUUUGUAUUAUUACCAUUUUCUUUUUCUCUUUUGGCUUCAAAUAUUGGUGGCGUUGGGUGGUGGGUUUGUUUCUCUUUGUUGAUGAUCAUGAAUCAUGAUGAUACCAAAUGUAAUUGCAAACAGCAGGGUCCAAAAUUUGUAUGACCUUGUGAUUUAUUCUGUAUCUUACUGAUGUUUGCUUAAUUAUCUUUUCAUUUUUGUUCUUUUUUGAGUGAUCUCCAUAAUUAAUCAGGAACCAAAAUAUCGAGUUUGUUAAUCUUUUAAUUUAAUAGUAUUUUGUGUAAAUUGGGAUUUAUUUGUAAAACUUCAUACACCCUUGCCAUAAAUUGCUCAAACGUACAAUCUUUUCGAACUAAAAAUGUUGUAUUCUUUGCAUUCACGUACUUCGUACGGCCAUCUGCUAACGUCUCCCACCAACCGUCAUAAUAUAAUUGAAGUACAACGGAAUCCAUUAAACCUAAAAAUAAAAAAUGAUACGGAUCCAGAUACCCAAGUACAUCAUUUCAAUAGAAUUUUCUUCAAUUUAUUCUCGCCAUUUUGAACCAUGCAUACCUUUUGCAUCCACUUUAAAGUUGCUAAACACCUUUUAUCCAAUACUUGGCGAUUAAUAUGGGUAAGACUGCUGUACGGCCAAGGCGGAUGUACGGUACAGCAGAUCAGAAUGGAUCUCUGCUGCACUUCUUGGUGAUACAGAAAGCUCAACACAAUCAUAAUCAGUGGCUUUGUACACAUUUUCGGAAGCAAUUCUCUUAAUUCAAUCAUCAAAAUUUGUUGAGUUUCUUUUUUCUUUUAUUUUGUAUUAUUACCAUUUUCUUUUUCUCUUUUGGCUUCAAAUAUUGGUGGCGUUGGGUGGUGGGUUUGUUUCUCUUUGUUGAUGAUCAUGAAUCAUGAUGAUACCAAAUGUAAUUGCAAACAGCAGGGUCCAAAAUUUGUAUGACCUUGUGAUUUAUUCUGUAUCUUACUGAUGUUUGCUUAAUUAUCUUUUCAUUUUUGUUCUUUUUUGAGUGAUCUCCAUAAUUAAUCAGGAACCAAAAUAUCGAGUUUGUUAAUCUUUUAAUUUAAUAGUAUUUUG
This 1205-nucleotide long non-coding RNA is filed under the name Citrus sinensis (sweet orange). Its description in RNAcentral is "long non-coding RNA (CSIN_LNC001431)". Lineage: Eukaryota; Viridiplantae; Streptophyta; Magnoliopsida; Sapindales; Rutaceae. The record is from RNAcentral.